UACGAAGGGGGCUAGCGUUGCUCGGAGUCACUGGGCGUAAAGGGUGCGUAGGCGGGUCUUUAAGUCAGGGGUGAAAUCCUGGAGCUCAACUCCAGAACUGCCUUUGAUACUGAGGAUCUUGAGUUCGGGAGAGGUGAGUGGAACUGCGAGUGUAGAGGUGAAAUUCGUAGAUAUUCGCAAGAACACCAGUGGCGAAGGCGGCUCACUGGCCCGAUACUGACGCUGAGGCACGAAAGCGUGGGGAGCAAACAGG
RNAcentral lists this ribosomal RNA (253 nucleotides) under uncultured bacterium. Its description in RNAcentral is "partial 16S ribosomal RNA". It matches the Rfam family "Bacterial small subunit ribosomal RNA", at positions 524 to 776 of the family's 1533-position model. The record is from RNAcentral.